RNAcentral lists this long non-coding RNA (6984 nucleotides) under Lynx pardinus (Iberian lynx). The record is from RNAcentral. Lineage: Eukaryota; Metazoa; Chordata; Mammalia; Carnivora; Felidae.
CAACUAACCACCAGAACUUCUCUGACGGUGUCUUGGCCAAGCACAUUCCCGCCCCUGCUACUUCUUUCACCUUUCUUAUGCAGGUGACAUUCCUGAGACUUGGGGUCAGGUUAUCCUACCGAGUAAAUCAACACGAGUCAAUCAAUAACUCAAGAGAUCUGGUGACAGGACAGGAGGUGGAGCCUGGGUGGCCACUCUGUCUAUAUGACCCUUCCAGUCCCAGGGCUCUGAAAAGAAGUGGUGAGUUCAAUGCCAUCUUCUACUGACUGGAUACAGAACUUUCAGCCAUGAAGGUAACAAGCAUCCUCCUCCUCUGUGCCUUGGCCCUGUUGGGGCUAUCUGGUAGGUGCCUGCAUAUUUUUCUGAUUUGAGUAAAACCUGUUUGACUUGUUGCAUUACUAAACCCAUUACCUUCUAGAUUUACAUUCUAGUCUUAGAUCUUUUGGUCCUAGCGAAAUAAGGUCAGGGGCCUAUUCCAGGGGGCUUCUUCAAGCCCGUAAGUGCCUUGCUGCUUCUUAUGACAUUUAGCUAGGAAGAGCUACCUCCUUACCUAGAUCACUUCAGAAACUGUCAAUAUCAAAAUCAAAUCUCACCAACAUUUCCUUCUUUGGAUACUAUCAGGUUAGCUCCUUUUCCCUUCAUUGAGCUCAACCAAAAUGACCAUCCUCUACAUGAUGUCAGCAAGACCUGAUAUUUUCCAGGGAAUGCAGCAUGGCAAUUUUAAGCAUCUAUCUGUGAAUUGGAUAAAUGUGAAUUGGAUUAAUAGGCAGUGUAGAGUAACAGAGGGAAUGAGUUCCUUAGGGUCCGAUGUUGAGUUAUCAAAAGAGUUCCAUGUUUAACAUUACUUACAAAAAGACUUACAUGUCAUUCCAAGUUAGUUUUGUUAUCACAAGACCUGGUUACUGCUAGUAGUAACUGCUUUACAAUUAGUUGUAUAAACUCUUCACAUCUUCAUCUAUAAACUGAAUUAAAGAUACUUAGACUUCUUACAUCACUAAUUGUAAGAUCAAAGGUCUAGUAACCAGUUGCGACAAUGUCAGUGAGCAUUCAGAAGAUAUUUGCUCCGUACCUGAUACAUUUCAAGCAGUAAGUAAAUCACUUCUAUUUUCAAAGAAAUGGGUCAACUUUUGUGAAAUGCUGAACUAAGAUACUUUGAUCAUAAUCAAACUUGUGCUUCAUUUCCUUGACGCUUCAACAGGCAAGGAGUGAUUGGACACCAGUGAGAUAUCCUUGAGAGAAGACAGAAAUAAGAAAAGGUUGAGGGGACAGGGGGGCAGAAGAGGCCAGCAGAGAAGUCACCAGUCUUCAAUGGAAGCUGAGAAUUCUGAUUAAGAGCAGAGCUGGCUUCUCCCAUUUAGGACCCAACCUCACAAUGUCUAAUUUAUGUUUUAUAGGCAACACUAGAGCUGACUUGCUGGAAAGACAGGUAAAGACAAUUUUGUACUUUCUUAUCUCUAGGGCUAGAACUGUUUGCCCCAAUCAAUGCACAUUCAAGUGUUUCAAUUUCAAUUUCACCUGAAAUCAGGACAGGUGUGUGGUGCUAGCGAGGCUUAACAAGUAUGGAGAGUAACAACAGUUUGCCCACAGGGGCUUAUGCUGAAGAACAAACGCACUGACACACAGGCGGUUUCCAUGUAGUCAUACAGCCCUCGCUGUGAGGGGGUUUUAUAUAUUUUGAGGCUAGCUGGUAGCACAAGGAUGUUGGGUGGCAUUCUUUUUAACUUCGCCCCAAAUAGCCCUUCCUCCUUAGGGCCAGCUUGACCAUGCUGGCAUAAACUUUUCCCAAUCCCCUAGGUGGAACCCUAAUUUAUAACUAACAAAAGAAAAAUAAUAAACUUCGUUCUUCCUCUAGAAAAAUAGUCUAUAUCUAACUUUCCUAUUUUUUCCUUGUGUUUAUAAGGUAAAUUGCAAUAAAUCUGAAGCCCAGAGGGGGAAGUGUCCCUCUUUUCAUUACAUUUAUAUCUAGUGAGGGGAUAGAUGACAAACUUAAAGGGCAUGAGUGAAUAAAUUACACUAAUGAUAAGGGUUGUGAAGAAGUUCUGGUACCAUGUGGAACCUAGACUGGUUAGAUCAGAGAAUGUGCCCCUAACUGAGUGAAAUUUAUUUCGAGUCAUAAAGGAUAAGUGAGUGUUAGCAAAAGACUACUGGUGGGUAGAAGUAGUAGAGUGAAGGGGUUAAGAGCCAAAGCUCAGGACCUAGACCAACUAGGUUUGAAUCCUGGAUCCAGGAAUUACCAGCUAUGUGGCUUGGGUGAUUUAAUCUCUAUGUGCUUCACUGUCUUCCCUGGAAGAUGAGUAUAAUAAAAAGUUCAUAGGAUAGUUUUGAGGUUGAAAGAGAAUAGUACAUGAAAGCAAGUAUGGCCUAAGACAGCCAUUUCAUAAUUCUGAGUUCUUGCUGAUGUCGACAAAAUAGGCUAUGCCAGGACUCCAAGGGGACAAAGCACUUGGUGUUGUCUGUCACAUGACUGAAGGAAGGGCAGUGUGACUGGGCCACAGUGGGCAAGGAAGACAUGCCCAUGGUGUGGCUGACCUGAGAGGAACCAGCGCCCGCAGUCAAUAUAAACCUGAACAUUAUCACACUCACCUCAUUUAAGCCUCACAUGACCAUCAUGAGAUAGUUGGCGAAGUGAAAAUACCCUUCUCACUGCACAGAUGAUGUGACUGAGGUUCAGAGGAACCAAGAGAUCUGCCAAUAUCUCACAACUUGUAAAUAGCAGAGGCAGUCCAUACAAUCAGGCUUUCUGAUUCCAAACCCUGAACUCUUUCUCUCGGACACUCAUUAUCACUACCCCCACCGGAGUCAGGCUUCUGUCUUUAAGCUGAUCAACUCCAGGGAAGUGAAAGCUGUUUUAGAGAUUUUGUUAUAAACUCGAAGACUACAAAAUGACGGAAAACAAUUCUGUUUAAUUCCAUUUUCAGGCUAAAUGUGACAGUGAAAUACCUGGAUGUACCAAGAUCUAUGCUCCUGUCUGUGGGACUGAUGGAAAAACUUAUUCUAAUGAAUGCUUGUUAUGUGUUGAAAAUAAGUGAGUACGAACUUGAGUGUCUUUUAAAACGUAUUUUUAAGCUAGUUGUCUUCACAUUUUCAUAUAUUUUAUCCCCCUAAGUUCCAACCAAUAUAUCAAUAACAUUAAUCUUACAAGAGAAAUAAAACAAGUAGUUUUCCAAAAAUAAUGCUCAAUCUCUUCUCCUUAUUCUAUAUCUGGUAUGAUUCUAUCCAGAGACAUGCAUACAUUUAUGUGUGUAAUACAAUAAAAGACAAUAUUUAUUGUGUCAAGCAUUGUGCAAGGCACUUAAUAUUCAUGAGUCUAUGAGGUACAUAAUAUAAGCCCAUUAUACACAUGAAGAGAUUGAGACUGAGCUUAAAUUACCUGCUCAAAAUCAACCAGCAGGAAGUGACAGAUCUGGUUCCAAAUCCUUGCUUUUUCAACUACAUGUUUUUUGAGAGAGAGAGAGAGAGAGAGAGAAAGAGAGGGAGGGCACAUGCACACAUGGGCACACAAGUUGGGGAGGGGCAUACAGAGAAUCUUAAGCAGGCUCCACACCCAACAUGGAGCCAGACACAGGGCUUGAUCCCAUGACCCUGGGAUCAUGACCUGAGCCAAAAUCAAGACUCAGAUGCUUAACCGACUGAGCCACCCAGGUGCCUCUCAACUAUGCUUUAAAGUCAGGCACCAGCCUAAGUAAAUUUGUGAGACACAGAGGAAAAGCCAACAUGUUUAAACAUGAUUAAAAACAACUAAUUAUGCCUGCUAGGAUUCGGAAAAGUUUGGACACUUUCUCUAGACCCUAAAGAAGGAGAGUGAGGCAUUCCAAUAAGGAGAAAAGCUGAACAAAAGGGAGAAAGGAAUUAAUCACAUAAGAUAAACGUGUUAAGGAAAGGACAGUGGAAUGGAGGAGGAAAGUAUCUGAAUGGUUCUCUCAACCAGUUUUUAAAAAAUCAUGUAUAUGACAAAAAAAACAUGCUUUUCCAGCAAGACAGUGGAUGGUCUAGAUUUUCAAAAAGCUAAUACACCCAAAAUACCUUUAAAUUAAAAAAAUAUCAGGGGCACCUGGCUAGCUCAGUUGAUAGCACAUGUGACUCUUGAUCUUGGGGUUGUGAGUUUGAGCCCCUUAUUGGGUAUAGAGAUUACUUAAAAUUAAAAUCUUUAAAAAAAUCAUUCUUGCUGAUGGUAAUGAUUGUGUUAACUAAAGCCCUCAAAAAUGCAUAUAUGAAUAACAUAGAUUAGGUGGCCAAAAAUAUAUUUUCAUAGCACUUUUAUUUAUGGAGAUGAGAGCCGGCCUCAAUGAAGCUCAUUUUCUGAAGUGAUCACAGGUCGGGAAUCAAACUCAGGCAUUCAGAGAAGCAGAUCUGCCACAAACUUUCUAUUUCACAUAGCUACUGAACACCUAACAUGUGUCCAGCAAUGUGCUAGUUUCCUCUGCUUUCCUUGUGCUUUUGAGUAAGAGAAAUUAACUCAUCGAGGCAAACAAGGUAGCUUCUUGUAACCUGUGAAAAGCGGCAUCAAAUGAGGUGUGAGGAAAGUACUACAGGUGGGAAGGAGAGAAUCAGAUGUCUUCUCAUUGAAAGGGUCAAGAAAGGAUUCAUGAAAAGGAUGUCAUUUAAAUAGGGCUCUGAAUUUUGGUAGCACUGCAAAAGCAUUCCAGGUUAAUGGCGUAGAACAAUCAAAACAAAUAAAAGAGAUUGUGCAAGUAGUCCAGAAAACUCUAAGUUAUUCUUAGAACUGAUUUAGUAUUAAAGGGUUUGAUGUAAGCUCAAACGACUGCAUAUUAUUUCCAUUAUUCCACAGUCUAAGUUCCCAAUAACAUGAUCUCUCUUCUUGGUCUGCUUUAAAUCACUUCAGAAAAUUCUCAGUGUUAGCAAGCAUUGUGGAAAUAGGGCCCCAGGGAGAGAGAUCUAUCAUUCUGAAGUUUUAGAACCAAAAUAUUAGGUGUUCUGCUUUGUGGUGAAUUUAUUUCCACACUAAAGAUUUGUAAAAGGAACUCAAAAACACUUGUUAAUUUUCUCAUGAUCUAGGCUGUUGACAUAAAGGUCAAACAUCCUAUUUCCAUCCAAGGCGAGGAGAAAGCAAUAUAACAGCCUUGAGAUUUAGAAACUUUCCAAGUGCCAAGACCAAAAGGCCCAAUAUUUAUAGCGAAAUAUUGGGAAAAUAUGAGCUUAGAGCUGAGACACAUCAUUCGUUCAGCUUUUAAAACCUACCCAUCCUGCUUACUUGCUCUAUUUUUUCAAAAAUAUUCAUAUAUGGGAAGAAUAUUUAAAUGCCAGAAAAAUGUAACUUCUCUUCCUGUAUCUCUCAGAUAAGUAAACAGGUCCAGAGAGAAAAUGUGGUUUCUUCUAAAGUAAAAUAUUUUCAGAUGAACCAUGUUGCGUUUCUCUCUACUGCCCACUGAAAGCCCCAAAUGAAUAUGGUGUAGAGUUAACUAGAGCCAAGCUCUAACCCAUGUUGGUGGGUUGUGCUUGCAUCUCCUAGCUCAUUAUGUGCUUGUCAGAUAUAGUCAGUCAGGACUUUUUUCUGUCUCUUCUAUGUCUCCUUAGGGAGCCUGCACUGUCAAAUUCUGUUCUAUAGAUCAGCGUUCUCUAGUAGAACUUUCUUCAAGAUGGAAAUGUUCUAUGUCUGUGUUGUCUAGUGUGGAAGCCACUAGCCACCAGGACUUAAAAUGUGGUUAGUACAUCUAAGAAACUAUAUUUUUAAUAUUACAUCAUUUUUUAACUGAUUUGAAUUUAAACAGCUGAAUAGGGAUAGUGUCUUCUCUACUGGACAGCACAGGUAGAGAAAUAAGUCAGUGUGUUUAAAAGUUUGUGCUGUGUAUGUUAAAACAACUCAGACCUAAGUGUUAUGCAUGAAUAAUAAUUAUGGAACAAAAAGACAUUAAAAGCUCUUAAAAAGGUGGCACCUGGGUGACUCAGUCAGUUUAGCAUCUGACUCUUGGUUUUGGCUCAGGUCAUGAAUUUGCAGUUCGUGGGUUGGGCCCCUGUUGGGCUCUGUGCUGGCAGUGUGGAGCCUGCUUGAGAUUCUCCCUUUCUCUCUGUCCCUUCCCUGCUCAUGCUCUCUCUCACAAAAUAAAUAAAUAAACUUAAAAAAAAAAAGGUCUUAAAAGGAAGAAUCAUCAAGGUCCAGAUAAAUACAUGCAAAAAGAUAUAUGGAAGUCAGAUGUCCCCAAGUAACGGAGAAAUAGAAGAAUUUUUAUAAACCAGUAUAUUCAAAGAAAGGAUGGCUAAGAAGAGAGAGAGAGCGAGCUCUGCAAACAAUCUCAUGAAGAACAAUUACAGGAUUUAAGAACAUUUAGCUGACAGAAGAGAAAAUUGGUUUGGGAAAGGUAGUGAGUUGGGAGUGAGUUGGUAGUUGAGUGAGGUUUUUAUCUGGAGGGGAGGAUGCUUAGAGCUGGCAGUUAUCAGGAUACAGAUAUGAUUUCCUUUUGUGAGAUCCCACAGAUAUUAAUCCCCAGAGUUCUAAGACAAAAGAUCAGCCAAUUAGAGCAUCCCGGAGUAGGCCAGGCAGCAGCUAAGAUGGAAAUCUUGUGGCUAGGACAACGAUAUUAGGAGUAAAAGAACCAAUGAUGACUUAGAGGUUGAUUUCACUGGUUUCCUGUAAUGUCACAGUAGAUCUGCACACUCUGUGAGGACAGACAUUUUUCCUUUCUGUUGUAUCCUUAGUGUAUGUAAGCAACAGCGUUGAUCGAUAUUUGAUGAAUUUAUGAAUAAGUAAAUGAAUAAAUGAUUGAAAGACAAAGAAAUGGGAAUAAAUAUGAAACCUUUCUAUUUUAAAUAAAGCUGAUCUUUUUUCAUUGUUUUUCUCCCAUUGUCAGUUUUUUUGUCAGCAAAGUUUGAUUUUUUUUUUUUUCCAAUCUCUUCCAUAGGAAGCGCCAGAACCCUGUCCUCAUUAAAAAAUCUGGGCCUUGCUGAGAACCAAGGUGCUAAAAUCCCAUGUGGUCACCACAACGCCUAGCUGGCCUUACUGUUGAAUAAAAUGCAUCUAAAUACUUC